UACAGAGGUCUCAAGCGUUGUUCGGAUUCAUUGGGCGUAAAGGGUGCGUAGGCGGCGCGGUAAGUCGGGUGUGAAAUCUCGGAGCUUAACUCCGAAACUGCAUUCGAUACUGCCGUGCUUGAGGACUGGAGAGGAGACUGGAAUUUACGGUGUAGCGGUGAAAUGCGUAGAUAUCGGGAGGAACACCGGUGGCGAAGGCGGGUCUCUGGGCAUUAACUGACGCUGAGGAGCGAAAGCAUGGGGAGCGAACAGG
This 253-nucleotide ribosomal RNA is filed under the name uncultured bacterium. RNAcentral describes it as "partial 16S ribosomal RNA". It matches the Rfam family "Bacterial small subunit ribosomal RNA", at positions 524 to 776 of the family's 1533-position model. The record is from RNAcentral.